AAAAUGGUUCUUAUUAGAACCAUUCAAAUUUUGUAUUGAGCUCUA
Chlorocebus sabaeus (green monkey) is the source of this 45-nucleotide non-coding RNA. The record is from Rfam. Lineage: Eukaryota; Metazoa; Chordata; Mammalia; Primates; Cercopithecidae.